AGAGUUUGAUCCUGGCUCAGGAUAAACGCUGGCGGCGUGCCUAACACAUGCAAGUCGAACGCCCUCUGGCAACAGAGGGAGUGGCGGACGGGUGAGUAACACGUGGGUACCUUCCCUCAAGUGGAGAAUACCGGCGAGAAAUCGCCGACAAUACUUCAUAGCCUUGGCAACAAGGAAAGCCCGCAAGGGCGCUUGGGGAU
RNAcentral lists this ribosomal RNA (200 nucleotides) under uncultured bacterium. RNAcentral describes it as "partial 16S ribosomal RNA". It matches the Rfam family "Bacterial small subunit ribosomal RNA", at positions 8 to 226 of the family's 1533-position model. The record is from RNAcentral.